UUGACACUCGAUCAUAUUAUGAUCUCUAGCAACAUCUCUCUCUCUCAAACCUUGACACUAACACAAGCCAAGACUCACACUUACUCUAGCCACAGCACUAACCCUGGCCGAGACCCAACCCCUGCAGUCUCCACCUCUUGGGUUGCUUAGAAAUGAUGGGCCGUCGUGUUUACUUGUGACUCUCACUUUACAGGAUACCCAGGUCAACUUCACCGUGCACGGCUUCUUCAAAGAGACCAAGAAUUGCCAAGAGUCUGUGAAGAUGUUUUGGCGGGUGGUGCAAUUGGUGCCAACCAUGGACGGCAGGCCGUCUGUCGCGAGUGAGCGGAUGUU
Molecule: long non-coding RNA, 333 nt
Organism: Lethenteron reissneri (Far Eastern brook lamprey)
Lineage: Eukaryota; Metazoa; Chordata; Hyperoartia; Petromyzontiformes; Petromyzontidae
Source: RefSeq, a predicted model, not a curated record